GUUUGUGUAGCUUAAUUCAGAGUUUAAUAUUGAAGAUAUUAAGGUAAAUUUAUUUCUCAAACA
This 63-nucleotide transfer RNA is filed under the name Populicerus confusus. Its description in RNAcentral is "tRNA-Phe". Lineage: Eukaryota; Metazoa; Arthropoda; Insecta; Hemiptera; Cicadellidae. The record is from RNAcentral.